Molecule: long non-coding RNA, 3200 nt
Organism: Brassica napus (rape)
Lineage: Eukaryota; Viridiplantae; Streptophyta; Magnoliopsida; Brassicales; Brassicaceae
Exons: 2
Source: RefSeq, a predicted model, not a curated record
CUCAUCAAAACGAUUAAAGGAAAUAACAAUGUCAGUUGUCAUAACUAAACCAUUACAAUUUAAGUUCAUUUUUUUUAUAAAAUCGACCCAGCUUACCAUUAGCUCUAAAUCUCUUAGAACACUGAGGCUGCUUUCCUUUAGCUUUGUCUGUAAGUGUAAACACAACAGACUAGAAUGCAUCAAAUGAACUUAAAUUGAUUAGUCACUGACUACAAAGCAGACAAACCAGUAACACAUUAAACUGAAAUGGGUUAAGAAAAAUCACAAUAGUUUUGAUUUCUUGAACUUAAGACAUUUUUUGGAUGAGUAAAAUGCUGGCGACUCCUUGAACUUGAUAAUGUCGGAGUUAAAUUUGAAACAUCUUUCAACACUGAAGUAAUUCCAAUACCGGAUUUUUUCUCAUCAGACGAUUGAGAAUCUGAUGGCCCUGGAGUUAUAGGUUGAUGAUUUUGUUUCCUCUUCCGUGUACCGGAUUCUUUGUUCUUCAUAUUUGGUUUUGGUUACUGCUACCGGAGAAGUUAGUUUGACAUGGAAAUCUCAAUAACCAUUGUUAUUAUGUAAAGAGAGUUAGGGUUGCUUUAUAUGAACGUGGGUUAGCUUUCAGAAAAUAGAUUUAAAACACCUUGCUUUUAAAUUACCUUGCUUACGAUGUGUAUCAUAUAAGUCGAUAUAUUUGUAUUGAUUUGAAUAGAUAGAUGCAAUAUAUAUCCACUUAUGUUUGAUAAAUUUUCAUACUUUUUAUUUGAAUCAAUCUCAUAAAUAUAAAAAUAACUAAACUUGUAUAUUUAUGUUGUAAUUAAUAAUACACCGCCCAUAAUUGAAAUGGAAUAAAUCAAAACAAUAGAAAACUUGUAAUAUUUUAUUGGAAAUUAUAUAUAUUGGGGUUUAAUUAUUAUUAUUAUUAUUAUUAUUAUUAAAAAAAAUUGUUAUUAAGGUUUAACUAUAAACGUUAGUUUAGAGUCUUACAAUAUUUUUAGACUUUUUAGGAAGACAAAAAAGACGUAAAUAACACUGCAUUGCUAAUCAAAGUUUAAAUAAAACCAAACACUUGCAAAGAACAAACUUACUGGAAACAUAAAACAACAAACUUACUGGAAACAGAAAACGACAAACAGAAAACAUAAUGAAAACAUAAAAACAAAGCACAAUUCCACACUUCCUUAGCCAAUUUUGUUCGAGGUUGACUGCUGCUUGAUGACGAAGUGAGUUCAGUUGGGUCGUUGGUGCAAUGUUUCUUUGAUGACGAAGUGAGUUCAGUUGGGUCGUUGGUUAUGGCAAUUUCAUUGCGUUUAGAUGAUGGGGUUGUUACAGAGUCCUCGUUAACUUCACUUUCCAUCAGUAGAAAUGAAUCCUACAAUAGAAACUCAGUUACAAAUAGUUGCGGUCCUUAAAUUAAUAUUAAAAUUUUGUAUAUGAAAAAGUCAAAACAUACAUGUUCACCACUAUAAUUAGUAGUUCAAGUUUCAGAUGGAGUACACGAUUCUGUAACACCAGCAGUCAAUAGCAUACUUAGUUCACUCCAUACUUUACCAACCUUAAAAUUCCCACUUUUGCUUGUAUGAUUGUCUUUCUCAAUGAACACCCAAACAUGAAAGUUUUACCAACCAAAGAAGUAAUAGCUUCAGGAAAUGAAUCAAUAUCUUCUAGCUGUAUAAUAAAUGUAGAGUUACAUAAUCAAUUACUUGCAUCUAUAAAAUGAAUGUAGUUAUAAUUAAUAGUUUAUGAAAUAGAGUAUACCUCAUCAAAUGAAUCAUCGAGAAGUCAGGCACAAUUCCUUGUGCAGUCCAGUGCAAUAACAUGAGGGUUGCUUCUCCAGUACCAUCCUUAACCAUUACAUGAAUCUUGAACCUGCAUAAUAUAAUAAACAUAAUUAAAUUACGCAUGAAAACUUUUUGAUUAUUCAGAAACUGUGUUUUGUAUGGAAAACUUACUUUGGUGAGACAUUUGUAACUUUAAGGUUGCAACCUUCACACCACCAAACAUGAGAUUUAGUCUCUUUUCCGUUCACUGUUUUCACUGAAGUUGAAAAUGGAAGAACCUUUUUUCCCGGCAAGCAUUGCAUCCGAAAUAGUACCAUCCCCAAUCCUUAUCAAUAGCAUAGAUUGUGCUAAUGAUUCUGCAUUGCCCAAUCUACAUUUAUAAUAUAUACAAAUUAGUGUUUGACAAGUAAAUCACUGCUAAAACAUAUAUUGAAUCUAUAAAUAUAACCUGAGUUGAUGCAAGAAGCUCUCCAAUGUCUUUCUGUGGGAAAAGCAACCACUUAUCACGUCUUAAUUCCCUCUCAAUUUUGUCUUUUUCGGAUUGAAAUGUUGUCAAAGCAUUGGACGGUUCAACCAUGUAAAAACAUAAAUUAACAUAGUUUCAUCAUAAUAUUCCUUAAGCUUUAUCUAAUUUAUUAAUAUGUUAUCAAAACCUUUUCAUAAACUCAUCUGUAUCCUUUAUUGGUGGGUUGAAAUAGACCUGAGAUGCAUCAAAUGCAUUGGAUAUUUGAACUUGGUCUGCAUAUUAUCAAUAGUAAUAAAAAAUCAGUAAAGCUCUCAGUCAAGAAAAAUAAUAAACACUGUAUUAUUUUAUAUCUAAAGAAAAUGAUAUAAGAUUACUUCGAUAGGUCCCGAUUUUAGCAAAACGUAUUAGGCAUACUACAAUUUCUUCUUCAGCUUGUUGGCUGAAACUGUGUAUUGCUUCAGCAAACUUUCCCCAAAGGUAGCAAGGUAUCUUUUGAUCACUGUUGAAAACAUAUAUUAAUAGCUUAAUAUAUAUAUGAUAUAAGAAAUACAUAAAAUUAAUAUAUUACCUGAUGUCUCUCAAGCUGAACUCGAUUUUCUUUCUUUGUUUACCGUGACACUGCACAGUUUCCAGAUCUCCCAACUCAAACACUUGUCCAAUAACAUCUGAUAUUGUAGACAUCAUAUUGUUGAAGGAGUGAUGUCAGUGGUGGGAAUAAAGACAAUCUUGUAUUGGUGAUUUGUAGUCUUGUAACUACCGCCAUUAUUAGUCACCAAGAAAUGGUCAAUGUUUCUCCAAGCAUCAACAGGUACUUUAUUCUCCAAACGAUCAAAGUAUGCCUUCUUACAUGAUGCAUGAAUCUUGUUACCCUUCAAUACAAUAAGAAUAAACUGGUUAGAUAGUAAGUUUAAAUAUAGAUGUAUUUAGGAAUCAUUUGUUUGCCCAACAAUAAAUAAGAGAACAUGAUUUUGAAA